UACGAAGGUCCCGAGCGUUAUCCGGAUUUAUUGGGUUUAAAGGGUGCGUAGGCGGGUUAUUAAGUCAGUGGUGAAAGCCUUCAGCUCAGCUGAAGAAUUGCCAUUGAUACUGAUGAUCUUGAGUAUGAUUGAGGUGGGCGGAAUGUGUCAUGUAGCGGUGAAAUGCUUAGAUAUGACACAGAACACCGAUUGCGAAGGCAGCUCACUAAGCCAUAACUGACGCUGAUGCACGAAAGCGUGGGGAGCAAACAGG
This 253-nucleotide ribosomal RNA is filed under the name uncultured bacterium. RNAcentral describes it as "partial 16S ribosomal RNA". It matches the Rfam family "Bacterial small subunit ribosomal RNA", at positions 524 to 776 of the family's 1533-position model. The record is from RNAcentral.